UCCCGCAACUCACAACUGGCAGCCCACUGAAGCUCAGCAGGUGUGAGCCUGGUCAGUACCUGGAUGAGAGACCUCCUGGGAAAACUAAGGUUGCUGCUGGAA
Molecule: ribosomal RNA, 102 nt
Filed under: Lepisosteus oculatus (spotted gar)
Lineage: Eukaryota; Metazoa; Chordata; Actinopteri; Semionotiformes; Lepisosteidae
Source: RNAcentral